GUUUCAUUUCCACCCAAGACAGCCUAGAACUGGGGCUGGUAAAGGUAGGUGAGGAACCAGCAGUUGGUAAUGGGAAAGGUCUGGUAGAAAGAAAGCUCUAGAACCUACCUGCUUACAGAGUCACCACAAGGUGCAGAUAACUAUAAUGUCAGCUAACGUCACUUGUUCACCCACCAGAAAAGUCCCCAUCUUCAAGUGAGCAUCCAGCGGCUCCAGACCUCACCUCACCUCCUCCCCUGCAUCCUGGGUGGCCUGUUUGUUGUGGUGCAUUUUGCUCAAGAAGUGGACAGGGAAUGUCAACACCCAUGUUAGCCCUUGGAGAGAUGCAGAACCUGGUAGAAUCUAUUUCCUUUCAUUCCAGGCACCACUGUAAUAAGGCUCAUCCCACCAUUACUCGGACACUUUUCCUGGAGCAUCUUUUCUUCAUUGGUUGACCUGUGCUCCUUCAUUGAAAAGCAACUGACCAUACAAAUAGUGAUAAAAAUGGCAGCAAUGUGGAAGACAGCCUGGAAUGGGGAGAGGCAAACAUCAGAGACCUUAGAUUGCUAUUGCAAGAGUCAAGACAGUCCCAA
RNAcentral lists this long non-coding RNA (572 nucleotides) under Callithrix jacchus (white-tufted-ear marmoset). RNAcentral's name for it is "lncRNA (ENSCJAG00000070192.1)". The record is from RNAcentral. Lineage: Eukaryota; Metazoa; Chordata; Mammalia; Primates; Cebidae.